Molecule: long non-coding RNA, 235 nt
Filed under: Phoenix dactylifera (date palm)
Lineage: Eukaryota; Viridiplantae; Streptophyta; Magnoliopsida; Arecales; Arecaceae
Description: long non-coding RNA (PDAC_LNC001489)
Source: RNAcentral
AUUAUAAGAUACCCACUGCAUUUGCAAAUACUUAAACAAUAUGGACACUUCUCUCUUUGUCAAUGGGUAGCAAAUAUUUUAAUUCCUCUCCAUACUAAUCCAUUCAUUAAAUUACGUGGAAUAUCUUGUCAUCAAAAGAUUCAGUUCAACAAUAUCCUGAAAAUUCUCACCUAGGGCAACAUCAAUUACCACGCCCAGCUGCCAGAGGUUCAUAAGCGCACCAUGUUCCACCCUG